This 712-nucleotide long non-coding RNA is filed under the name Phaseolus vulgaris (common bean). Its description in RNAcentral is "long non-coding RNA (PVUL_LNC002081)". The record is from RNAcentral. Lineage: Eukaryota; Viridiplantae; Streptophyta; Magnoliopsida; Fabales; Fabaceae.
CAACAAUAAAAAAGAGAACGAAAAUGGGUAAGAGGAAACGUUGGAAUUUGUAAUGAGGUGUGCAGGGAGGAUUUUAUUACCAUGUGGUGUGAUGCAAGGGUGGUAUCUAGUAGUGGUAAGGAGGAGGAGGAGGAGGGGAUUUGUAGUAGUAGUGGGGUGGAGGUGGUGAAGGGACUGGAGGAGGAGGAGACUUGUACUUAUAAGGCUUCUUGUGAGGUGAUGGUGGAGGAGAGUGGUAAACUGGGGUGGGGACAUGGGGAGGGUAGGUGGGAACUGGUGGCGGUGGGGAGUGGUAGACUGGGUGGGGGUGAGGGUAGCGGUGCCUGUGCACUGGUGGAGGAGGGGAAGAGUAUUUGUAUGACUUCUUAGGAGGGGGUGGAGGAGAGUGGUAAACUGGGUGUGGGUGAGGGUAAGGCUUGUGCACUGGUGGUGGGGGAGAUGGGUAUUUGUAUGGCUUCUUUGGUGGUGGAGGUGGUGGGGAGUGGUAGAUUGGGUGAGGGUGAGGGUGAGGGUGUGGGUGAGGGUAAUGGUGAGGAGGGGGUGGAGGAGAUUGGUAGACUGGGUGUGGAUGAGGGUAGGGCUUGUGCACUGGUGGUGGUGGAGAUUGGUAGACUGGGUGUGGAUGAGGGUAGGGCUUGUGCACUGGUGGUGGUGGAGAUGGGUAGUGGUAGGGAGGUGGUGGUGAGGAGACUGGUGGAGGUGGAGGAGAGGA